Molecule: ribosomal RNA, 300 nt
Filed under: Allocoprococcus comes
Lineage: Bacteria; Bacillati; Bacillota; Clostridia; Lachnospirales; Lachnospiraceae
Description: bacterial SSU rRNA
Rfam family: Bacterial small subunit ribosomal RNA
Source: RNAcentral
GGAUGAAGAGGUUUGUGACUGAGUGGCGGACGGGUGAGUAACGCGUGGGUAACCUGCCUCAUACAGGGGGAAAACAGUUAGAAAUGACUGCUAUUACCGCACAAGACCACUUAGCCGCAUGGCCCAUUGGGACAAUCCCCGGUGGUAUGAGAUGGACCCGCGUCUGAUUUGGUACUUGGUGGGGUAACGGCCUACCAAGCCAACGAUCAGUAGCCGAUCUGAGAGUGUGACCGGCCACAUCGGGACUGAGACACGGCCCAAACUCCUACGGGAGGCAUCAGCGGGGAAUAUUGCACAAUG